AGCCAGAGGCCCAUAUCGUUGGAGGUAUUGGAUUGGGUGGUUCGUCCCCUCUAUAUCACAAUGGCGCUGGUGGUUGUUGAGCGUUUUUGCUCCAGUGGCCCAAUACCUAUAUUGCCACAUUUCACCUCGCUUGGCCGACGAGCAAACUGUUGAGAGGUUGAGAAUUAUUUCCAUAGUCUUAUAGAGAUGGGCAGGAGACUGGCCAUUUUGUUCGAUCUCAUAGUCGCUCACUCAAGAGGCCACACGAAAAAUAUGUAAAUCUCAUUGCAUACCUCACAUCGACAGGGCCCGGAGUUUGAGUUAAAAAAAAAAAAAAAAUAUGGGUUCAUUUUCCCAAUAUUCCAGCAGCGGAAUCGCAGAAGGGAAGAGAAGCAUGCGCGGGAUGCCUUUGAAUACAGCCAUGAAUAUAAAUAGGGGGAACGCAUUAUGAGUAACAUCUACUCCGUAUUUACUUUUCAAUCCUAAAUAGCCAACCAAGAUGCUCAUUAUGGCCAUUGUGUUACAUAAUGCUUUGACUCUGUGCAAACGGCGGGACAGAUGGAAUUGUCCUAGACUGGGAACGAUUGAAGUACUGGACAGG
RNAcentral lists this small RNA (580 nucleotides) under Histoplasma capsulatum. Its description in RNAcentral is "hypothetical RNA". The record is from RNAcentral. Lineage: Eukaryota; Fungi; Ascomycota; Eurotiomycetes; Onygenales; Ajellomycetaceae.